Molecule: long non-coding RNA, 2741 nt
Organism: Tympanuchus pallidicinctus (lesser prairie-chicken)
Lineage: Eukaryota; Metazoa; Chordata; Aves; Galliformes; Phasianidae
Exons: 3
Source: RefSeq, a predicted model, not a curated record
CUAAUUCAUGCUUUUUUUAUAUAGCCCUAUUGACUUCAGUGGAAGUGUUUGUGCAGAAAGGAACAUUCAGCUACUUCACACCAAUGAAAGCAGAAAGCAACAGGUGCUGCUGGAGUAUUUCACAAUGGUGUAUCUGGGAGAGUUGUGACUGGGGAGAAGGCAAGGAGAUUCAUUGGAGACCUGAAGACCCCAAGGCUGAAAGAGAAGUUUUUAAAGAAGGUGCAAACAAGAUUUUCUCCGUAGGGAAGGAACAUGAUCAUGUACUGUGUCAAGAAGACAGCAUUGAGCCAACCAAGGAGGAGAGCAGCCAUCUCCGUGAGCCUUCCUGUCCAUCUUGUGCCUGCAGCCCCAGGCUCUCAGUGCAGUGAUGAGCAGUGGCCGCAGCGGAUGCUGUAUCUGUGUGCGUUGGCAGCACGGCUGCUCCUGGAGCCAUAAAUCCUUUGCUGCGGUGGCUGAGUCACUCUCAUACUUUCCUUUCGCAGAGGUACAGCAAAUAGGAGAUAAAUAAACACCAGCAGCCCUGCUGAAAGGUUCCCACCUUCCUGAGGAUCAGGUUAAAUGCUGCUGGGUGGCAGGAUUGCCUUUUCUGUGUGUCUCCCUCCUUGUGACCAAGAGGGGCAAAAAUCCUGUGGCCACAACCACUCUCCAUCCAAGCAGGAUCGGACAGCAUGGGCACAACAAGGGUUGCAACACUGAAAUGAUCCCACAGCACAUCUCUGCUAUCUGGGUCUGAUAACAGUCUCAUGCACUGUCCCUCUUCUCACAGAGCUACUGUGCAGUAAGAAAGUGCUGGGGUUUUUGGAGAAGAAACAUUACAUGCAAGUUCAUCUCCAUAGGAUAAGUAAUUAUAAUGUUGUCUGCUGGUGCCUGUGGGGACAGCAGUGCAUUUCUUGGCAGCUUUCAUGUGUUGUUCAAGGCAGAUUUCCUGCAUAGAUCCAGGCUCUGGCAGGCAGCCACAAGUGGGACGCAGAUGAAUGCGCCUGCUCAGGAAAUGAUAAAGGAACCAAGCAAAUGCUUUUGUUUGUGAAGCAGCAUCAUCUGGAGAGCCGUCAGAUCCUCUUCCAGAGGUGAGGCAUGGAAAUCACGAGCAGCUCCCAGCCUGUGCCACUCAUCAGGUGCUGGCAUGUGGAGCAAUAGGCAAAGCUCCCAGCCCAGCUGGAGAUCCCAUCCCAGCUUGGAUUUGGUGUCAGCCCAAAUCAAAUAGGAAUUUUCACCACCAUUUUGCUUGUUAGGACACUUUUCAUCUAAGUGCUUCUUACCUCACAUAAGGCAAGGGCUGAGCAUAAAAUGCAAAUGCAGGACAAUUCAAAGCCAUCAGCUUUCCCUGCCUGGUCACAGGGGAGUUAUCACAGCUGCAUGAAAUCUGCACUCACCAAGCCAGGGUGAGAGCAAGGGUAUCUGCUGACACUCCAAAGGGUCUUAAUGCACUGUCACCUCCUAAGUGGACCCCUUGGGCAUCUCUGUGAUGGGGAAGGGAGAUGGCCAGGAUUAUCAACCACUUUUAAUGAAACCAUUUCUGUAAAAGGUUGGGUUUUUUUGUUGUUGUUUUUUUUGGGGUUUUUUUUUUUUUUUUGCACAAAGCCAACCUUAGGAGAUCAAGGGAAUGAUCUUGGUAUGGAUGAGAUGAGAGAAAGAGAGUGCAGCUGCCACAAAGGCUAACAGCAUGGCAAGCAUUACAAAUCCACCUGCAGUUGACAGAGAAGAUCUGUUAGCAGAGAUGGGCUGGACAGUUUUCAGCAACGGGACAACACAUGAGACCCUGAGAUUAAAAGGUUUUUCACAUGUGGGAGAUGAGUUCACAGAAAAGAGUCACAGUGAGUUUCACAAAGCAGGCAUCCUCCAAGCAGUGAGCCCUGCAGCUCUGGCUUUGCACAAAAAGAGAAGGCACCCACCAGGCAAAGCAUUUUCCCAGGCAUGUUAGAUCCCAGUUAGUGGACAGCAUUGAUCUGACCACUCUCAGAGCAGAGAUCUUUCUGCACUGAUAUUUUGUCUUCAACUGGGAAGAGACUGGAAAAUAGAUGUAGAGAAAACUGACAGGAUUUUGAUGGCCACGGACAUUUCCCCAAGCUCACAGCACAUCUUCAUAGCCCAAGGAAAAUAACAGUGUAAAAUGUCUCCAUGUAGAAGGGAAGAAAUUUCUGUUAUUGAUUUUCUGGGACUGAAGCACCUGAGACAGAAGGAGAAAAAUGAGUUGUGCUCGUAAGCGGACGAGUCAGUGUCAAAUAAAUUCUUAUAAAGGUUUGGUAUACUUGGGGGUGAUAGAUUUUACUCAGAAACAUCCAGAUACAUUUUAAAGAACCUUGCAAAGUUUUUAUUCCUAGAACACAAGCAAAGAGAGUCCUUCUGGAUAAAACACUUACAUCUGACUGGAUCAAAAAGAGGGCUGAAUUCAUACGUGUUUUAUGAGGAAUAUCUGUACUGCACUUCUGUGUUACUAUAGUUUGAUGAUGGUCCAAAGGACUAAGCUGGCCCAGGUUGUCUCCAUGCUUUAGGGCAGUGAAAUCUUUUCUGCCUAAGCUUUGAUCUCUGUCUGGAGGCUUAUCAAGAGACCAAAACAGACAACAGAAAACUCCUGUAAAAUGCAUUCAGAGUACUAGAAUUUUGGAUUCUGCAUAUGCACAGCUCCAGCAGAUGAGCAAAUGACAGACAUAUUUAAAAAGAAGGGAUGGAGCAGGAAGGAGGAAAUUGAGCUGAUCUUUUUUUAUUUUAUUUUCAGACAUAAUGUUUUAAUAUUUUGUCUC